GCGCAGGCGCAGAUGCUGCGGUCAUCAGCGCGUUGGCGCGCCGCUGAUUCGUCCCUAGCCACGCGUUUGUAUCAGCCCCAGAAAUUCUAAAUAUCCGUGCAGGUUUCACGUGAGCUCUGCGACUCGAAUUCACAGCUGCCCUCAGCUGACACUGAAUCUGGCGCGUGGUCCUGGUGCCGUGGCGAAUCAGCGGCGCGCAAGAGGGAGCAUGUGGCCUCGGCUCUGAAGCAUGCUGGCCAGAGGAACCCUGUAGGAGUGGUUGGUCCAGUCGGGGCUGCAGUGUCCUGCCUUGCAGCAUGGCCAGUUCCCAUACGAGCCGAAGGCCUCGUGUUUAGGGGGCUGGGUGCUAACCUGGAGCUGCAGACGGAGGAGGAGUUUUAGUUAUUGCACCCUGGCAAGCCACUCACUCAUCCAACUAUCAGUGGGUUUGACAGAGGAGACAGCCACAGUGCACCGGUGCAGUCCGGGACUGAAGCUCUGUCAGAUCAUCGGGCAGGCGGGAAACCCGGAAGAAGGACGGGAGAGCGUGAGUGAGAUUGUGAGUGAAGCGCCUGGAAGCGCAGAACCCUGUUCUGCAGGAUGGACCCAGCCCUGUCUGCUGUCCGGCUCACCGUCCAGGAAGCCAUUCACAUCCUUUCAUCCUCAGAGGAUGCUGGCCAUAUCCUUUCUACCCUGGGGACUCUGAAACGAUACCUCGGUGGAACCGAGGAUCCAGUUCUUCCUGAGGAGAAGGAGGAGUUUGCCACUGUCCACUUCUCAGCCGUCCUUAGAUGUCUGGUCAGCAAGCUGAGCCCAGGUUGGCUGGAGCUGUCCCCCGGUGGCCAGCUGGAGCGGCUUUGGGAGAGCUUCUUCCUGGAUGGCCCUCCAGACCAAGCCUUCCUGGUGCUGAUGGAAGCCAUUGAGAGCACUGCUGGCCCUAGCUUCCGUCUGAUGAAGAUGGCUCAGCUGCUGGACACAUUUCUGAGCACGGGCAGAGUGGCUGCUCUAAUGGAGGAGCAGUGUCGGCCACAGACAAAGCCCAGCUUUCCCCUGUUCCAGGAGACGCUGCUCAGCAAGGUUGUGGGCUUACCUGAUCUCCUGGGCAACUGUCUCCAGCGGGACAACCUGACCCAGUUCUUCCCCCAGAACUACUUCCCUCUGCUUGGCCAGGAGGUUGUGCAGGCACUAAAGGCAGUUGUGAACUUUCUCCAAGAUGGCCUAGACUGCUCUGUCUCCUUCGUAUCUCGAGUUCUUGGGAAGGUCUGCAUCCAGGGCCGAAAGAGAGAGAUCCUGAGUGUGCUGGUGCCCCAGCUGACAGUGCUCACCCAGGACAGCUGUCUGUGGCAGCGGGUGUGCUGGCGCCUGGUGGAGCAGGUGCCUGACCGGGCAGUGGAGGCUGUGCUGACAGGACUUGUAGAGGCUGCUCCCAGGCCUGAAGUCCUGUCACGACUACUAGGGAACCUGGUGGUGAAGAAUAAGAAAGCGCGGUUUGUGGUUACCCGCAAGCUCCUGCUCCUGCAGUACCAGCACACGACACCCAUGGUGCAGAGCCUGUUGGGGUACUUGGCUCUAGACAGUCAGCGGCGGCCACUCCUCAUACAGGUGCUUAAGGAGCUGCUGGAGACCUGGGGCUGCAGCAGUGCUGUCCGACACACACCCCUGGAGCAGCAGUGUUACAUCAGCAAGGCCAUCCUUGUCUGCCUGGCACACCUCGGGGAGCCGGAGCUGCAGGACAUCCGGGAUGAAUUGCUGGCCAGCAUGAUGGCAGGCGUGAAGUGCCGCCUGGAUAGCAGCCUGCCCCCUGUGCGCCGCUUGGGCAUGAUUGUGGCCGAGGUCAUCAGCUCCAGGAUCCACCCUGAGGGGCCUCUCCUGAAAUUCCAAUAUGAAGAUGACGAGAUGAGCCGUGAGUUGCUGGCUUUGGCUACCCCGGAGCCUGCGGGUGACUGCUCCUCGGUGUCACGAGGCCCAUCCCCAGCUCCUGUUGACACAGAGUCUCCUGUAGAGAUGCCAGAAAAGGCCGUGGAGAGUGAUGUCCCCCCAACUCAGCCUCAGGGCUCUGACUCGGAGCUGGACAGUGACGAUGAGUUCAUCCCCUAUGACAUGUCAGGGGACAGAGAGCUGAAGAGCAGCAAGGAGCCCCUGUAUAUCCGAGACUGCGUGGAAGCUUUGACUACAUCUGAGGACAUGGAACGCUGGGAGGCGUCCCUAAAGGGGCUUGAGGGCCUGGUAUAUAGGAGCCCCACGGCCACUCGGGAGGUGAGUGUGGAGCUGGCCAAAGUGCUACUGCACCUGGAAGAGAAGACCUGUGUAGCAGAGUUUGAGCAGCUGCGCCAGAGCGCUCUGGUAGCUGUUACAGUCACAGACCCGGAGCAGGUAGCCAAGUAUCUGACCUCACAGUUCUAUGGCCUAAACUAUAGCCUCCGCCAGCGCAUGGACAUCCUGGACGUCCUUGUUCUGGCUGCCCAGGCACUGUCUCGGCCAAAGAGCCUGCAGAGACGUUCCCAGCACGGUCCCCCCGUUCCUGGCACCAUGUGUUCACCAGCACUAGCCGUUUCUCAGACUGGCAAUGUCGCUGCUCCUGACUGGCAGGUGGUUGUGGAGGAGCGGAUCAGAAGCAAGACCCGGAGGUUCUCGAAGGGCUGUCCUCAGCGGGAGCUGUCAGGCGUCCCCAAUGAAUUCAGCUCUGUGGCUGGCUACUUCUUCUUCCCCCUCCUUCAGCACUUUGACAGGCCUCUGGUGACCUUCGACCUUUUAGGAGAUGAUCAGUUGGUACUUGGAAGACUGACCCACACCUUAGCGUCCCUGAUGUACCUGGCUGUUAACACCACAGUGAGUUGGAAAUGAGGACUGGAAGCCCUGCCAUGUAGUUUCACAGCAGUGCAGUUGUAAGGAUGAUCUCCGGUGCUCACGGGACAGGACCUGAGCUCUGCGUGGCUCCUGUGGGGAGCACUGGACCCGCAGAAUACAUCGUCCCCUGCCUUUGACCCUAGGGGCAGUCUGUGCAGAGCUCCAUGAGGCACUGCAUGCCUCCCCACUCAGAGGCGCGCCCUGACUAGGUGGCUGUGCCUAUGGGUAAGGCCCUGCUGGAGUUUGUAUGGGCCCUUCGCUUCCACGUUGACAUGUGAGUGGCCCACGGGGCUAAGCACAGCAUAGUCUCCAAGGCAGCAUGCCCGACAUUUCCUAACAAGUAGUCCGUCCUGCCUGAGGAGGCCCAGAUAGGGCUGCAAUGAGCUUUAUUGCAGUUGGCCUGCUGGACUCAAUCCGUAUGGGAGGCCCUUCCCAUAGGCUAGUUGGGGUUUCAUUCACAAAGCCGUGCCUCACCUUUCCCCACCCUCUUGAUUGGUAGUUACGUGCGCCGGGGCUUGCUGUCUGCUGUGUCCUCUGUCCUCCUCAGUGUACCCACAGAGCGGCUGCUGGGGGACCUGCCAGAUGAGCUACUGGAAGCCAGAUCCUGGUUGGCAGAUGUGGCUGAGAAGGAUGUGGACGAGGACUGUAGGGAGCUGGCAGUAAGGGCUCUGCUGCUUCUGGAGAGACUCAAAGACAAGCUCCUGUCCAGUUCCUCUCCACAGCCCUGAGGAGUCUCCACAGGGGCCCGAAUGGAGCCUGGGCCAUCAGCACUGGAAGAAGGGAAGACCUCUGACAAGCAGAGUCCACACGCCUGGGCUCUAUGUGGAGAGGCUGCUGGUCCCUGUGUGCAUGAAGUAGGCUCCUAUCAAUCUGACCCCUGCUGUUAACUUAUUCCUUGGCCAGGCUAAGCGUUCAGCUAAAAAUACUGGGGGGUCUGUGCCAAGGGACACAACAACCUUUGACAGAAUUGGGGCUGGGGUGUGGGGCCCGAGACCUGCCUCCUGAGAGCAGAACUUUGGGCUCUAUGGGCAGGGCCUCAAGAGUAAAGACAGGAGACAGCUACUCAGUCUUUACUAUACUCGGAUGGGGAUGUUAGCUGCUGGCUCCCCAUGGGCUGUGCAACACUUGUGUUCCUGUGAGAAUAAACAGGCUACAGAUGACACACA
RNA transcript from Mus musculus (house mouse), 3992 nucleotides. It is a transcript of the gene named telomere maintenance 2, with no coding region annotated. NCBI's taxonomy places the organism in Eukaryota, Metazoa, Chordata, Mammalia, Rodentia, Muridae. The record is from RefSeq and is marked validated. The transcript has 20 exons.